This is a long non-coding RNA of Microtus oregoni (creeping vole), 500 nucleotides long. RefSeq lists it as uncharacterized. The transcript is spliced from 4 exons. Lineage: Eukaryota; Metazoa; Chordata; Mammalia; Rodentia; Cricetidae. The record is from RefSeq and is a predicted model, not a curated record.
UCCCAGCGCGCUCCAAGAAAGGGGGCGGCCGAGGUGACACCCGCUCCAGUGGGAGGUGGACCGGAGGAAUCCCAGUGUGCUGAAUGAUUUUUUUGACUGCGAUCCAGACUUCCAGAGUCUGUGGGUCUACAGCAGUCAAGCAGGACAGACAGCAAUUCAUCUUGGGUCUCACCAGUUGCACAGAAGAGGUUGGUGUUUAUCGAAACAUACAGCUAAGACACUGUGUGGCCACCACAGGCACUAUAAGCCUCAGACUGCCCAGAGCAGUCUUCUCUGACCUCUGUGUGAAGACGUGGUUCAUCUACAGCUGACCUGGGGCUUGUUCCUUCAGAGGCUAGUGGCCUCAUCAUUGCACUGUGGUGAGCUGGUGGUCUCAAUGGUUCCCUCCAUAAGAACCACACUGGACAGAACAAAGGAAAAGAAUUUAAACCCUGGAAUCAGACAGCCUUGAUUUAUCACGUGGCCUUGAAGAGCCAAUGGUCAAUACCCUUAUUUAUAAA